Paramormyrops kingsleyae is the source of this 66-nucleotide small nucleolar RNA. Its record names the gene SNORD73. It matches the Rfam family "Small nucleolar RNA SNORD73". Rfam says of the family: U73 is a member of the C/D class of snoRNA which contain the C (UGAUGA) and D (CUGA) box motifs. U73 is encoded within the introns of ribosomal protein S3a and contains a 12nt region of complementarity to a conserved sequence in 28S ribosomal RNA. U73 is therefore thought to function as a 2'-O-ribose methylation guide for pre-rRNA. The record is from Ensembl. Lineage: Eukaryota; Metazoa; Chordata; Actinopteri; Osteoglossiformes; Mormyridae.
AACACGUGAUUACAACAGUUUCGGUCCCAAAUGAACACAGUGAUUACUUUGAGAUCUUCUGAUGUU